AUACGGAGGGUGCAAGCGUUACUCGGAAUCACUGGGCGUAAAGCGCGCGCAGGCGGCUAUUUAAGUUGGAUGUGAAAGCCUACGGCUCAACCGUAGAACUGCAUCCAAAACUAUUUAGCUAGAGUGUGGGAGAGGAAGAUGGAAUUAGUUGUGUAGGGGUAAAAUCCGUAGAGAUAACUAGGAAUACCAAAAGCGAAGGCAAUCUUCUGGAACACUACUGACGCUGAGGCGCGAAAACGUGGGGAGCAAACAGGAUUAGAAACCCUAGUAGUCC
Molecule: ribosomal RNA, 274 nt
Filed under: uncultured bacterium
Lineage: Bacteria
Description: partial 16S ribosomal RNA
Rfam family: Bacterial small subunit ribosomal RNA
Source: RNAcentral